AGCCCACCCCAACUCCAUCCCCUUCCAUUCCCUUCCAAAGGGCAGCCAGCCCUAAGCCCAGCCUGGCCAGGCCUGAGGGUUUCACACUGUCUAGGAUGUCAACCCUUUCCGAAGCUACUUUUGAAGGCCUUUAUAUCUGGACAGGCUCCAAGGUUGGGCUCUCACCUGCAAGGAAUGAAGAAGAGUGGCUGCACUUGCCAGUGGCCCCAGGGUCUUGCAAUCAUCGCUUUGAAUGCAGCUUUUGUCCACACUCUGCCCCCUGAGCCCAGCAGCAUUCCCGGGCAUCAGCUACCAGCACCUCAUGCUGUGGAAAUGGCACUGCUCAGCCUGCCAGUCUGGGAAGGCUGGAGGGCAUUGGGUGCUCAUUUGCUGUCAAAAAUAAAUAGUUUUGUUGUCGUCAUUGCCA
This is a long non-coding RNA of Passer domesticus (house sparrow), 406 nucleotides long. RefSeq lists it as uncharacterized. The record is from RefSeq and is a predicted model, not a curated record. The transcript is spliced from 2 exons. Lineage: Eukaryota; Metazoa; Chordata; Aves; Passeriformes; Passeridae.